This 2023-nucleotide long non-coding RNA is filed under the name Marmota monax (woodchuck). The record is from RNAcentral. Lineage: Eukaryota; Metazoa; Chordata; Mammalia; Rodentia; Sciuridae.
GUCUUUUCCCGCUUCUCUCUGGGCUCACCUGUUUAUUUCCAUCAAUCAGGGCUCCAGUUUUUUAUGUUAGUGUGAGAGACUGUUUCUUUUAUUAGAAACAUUAUUGGGGAGGGGGGUGUGUGGCUGUAAUUUAUGCUGGUCCAGGUCGGUUUUCAAGAAGGGGGAGGAGACUUGGAGGAUACCCCAGCUCCUGGCCGUAGCUGACCCCACUGCCUUCCCUGCGGAAUCCUUUCCCUCACUCCGCAGCCCGCACGCCAGCUGCCACCUUACUGGAGAAUAACCACACCUGUGCUUCUAUCCGCUUUGGAGACGAGGUGAGCAGAGAAACCAGGGAAUCCCCUGUAGCUCCAGGUCUCUUAGCUAGAACCCCAACACCCGAGAAUUGGCAGAAAGCGCUCCCUUCACCUGCUGAUUGCGUUCAGCACAUCUGUCUUCAACCUCCUGACAAGUUGUGGUCCACAGUUGUGUCGGGAUUUUUCUCUUCCUUCACCCCUGUACCCUACCACUGGCAACCAACGGCUGGGCUUAGGUUGUGAAAAGGAGAGGUGGCCCCCUUCGGCCCAGUGUGCUGUGCUGUGUUUUAUUCCCCAGUGGGUCUUCCAAUCGAAAUCUGCUCACAUCUUGCAGUCCCCUCUACCCUUCUCCUAAACUUAGCUCAGAAGCAGGCCUAAGCAGCCUGUCUUCUGGCUUUUUUUUCCCCUGGGCGGCACCCUGGCCCCUUUUGGUUUUCCAGAGCCAAACACGCCUCCCAAGCAGACGGCACACCCAGCCCCAAGUCUAACCAUUCCAAAGGGAGGAGGAAACAAGGGAAGAGAAGGGACUCAAGGGUUUCUGUCUGGAAUAUCAUAACAGUAUUUCCCUCUUCAAGCCUCCUAGAUAUAUAAUCCCUGUGUUAUUCUUACCAGCGUGUUAUUCUGUUAUAACUGUGUUAUUCUUCUACCCUUCUUGCCCCUGGCCCUUCAUAGAUUAUUGGGGGAAGAAGAUGGGUAGAGAAAGAGAUGGUCACCCUUAUUCUCUAGAAGGAGACAUUUUUCUCCUUUCAUUUGUGACAUAUUCAGCAUGUAAAAUAAGUAAAUGUUUGCACGCUUAUUUGAACUUGUUUUCUUCUUGGCUAAUGAAUAGCUGGAACUCCACAGGGAAGGAGGGGAGAAAGAUGCCCCAGAGUGUCCCCUGCAUUGCCAGGGAAGACCCUUCUGUAACAGCUAACAGUCUCCCUUCCAUGACAUCACCACCUAAGCCCUUCCAACUUUAGCUUCAGAACAGGAAGAAGGCCCAAAAUAGAACUACCUUAGGAAUCCAGCUCCUUUAAAAGAUCAACUUUUAAAUCAGCUGCAGGAGGAACAUAGUGAACUUUGACAGGGGGAGUGAGAAGGUAGAGAAAGCUGUGAUGUUUGUAAUUGGUUCCUUUGGGAAAGAGAGGGAAGAUACUUUCCAGGUAUUUCAGAAAAGCUUUUCUCAAGAUAGAUUCAGGUACCCAGAACAAUGAAUGAUUAAUAGUUUGGUUUGAGAUUUAUUUAUUGAAUUAUUCAUAUGUUUCAGUAUGUCAACAAGAACAAGCACUUUUCAGAAUUAGUUAAAGAGGGCCUCCUGGAAUGUGCUCUACUGUGUGUUUAGAUACAAAGGUGGUUGGGGAAGUUAGGAGGGGGCACUUGAAGAAGGCAGAGAUUCUGAGGAUCAGUGACAGCUGCUCUAUGUAAGUUGAGAGGCUCAUUAUAAACAAUGACCCCAAAGUAACUUUUGCAGGGUGACAAACAUCCCAGACAAAGGAGUAACAGUGUCGGGAUUUUCUACCUUUGCCUUGUAGAGUCUUUGAAUCUCAGUGUCUCUUUUUAUGUCCUUAAAUCAAAAUGAGCCUUUCUCUCUUUACUAAGCAGCCCUUCCCAAAAUUGUCUGGGGAGGACUGCCUAGUAAAUGAUCAGUCACUGAAGUACUGACGACUUAAAGGAUUGGAAGUGGGGCAGAAAGCACUUGACAUAAGUUGAGUGCCUGGUAGAUACUGUAGAAGGACUUGCUGGUUGAUGAG